This 221-nucleotide ribosomal RNA is filed under the name uncultured bacterium. Its description in RNAcentral is "partial 16S ribosomal RNA". It matches the Rfam family "Bacterial small subunit ribosomal RNA", at positions 1283 to 1500 of the family's 1533-position model. The record is from RNAcentral.
CGGUCUCAGCUCAGAUUGUGGGCUGCAACCCGCCCCACAUGAAGUCGGAGUUGCUAGUAAUCGCGGAUCAGCAUGCCGCGGUGAAUGCGUUCCCGGGCCUUGUACACACCGCCCGUCACACCAUGGAAGGUUGGGGGCGCCCGAAGCCGAUGGCCUAACCGCAAGGAGGGAGUCGUCGAAGGUGAAAACCAAUGACUGGGGUGAAGUCGUAACAAGGUAUC